AGAUAGAUAGAUAGAUAGAUAGAUAGAUAGAUAGAUAGAUAGAUAGAUAGAUAGACAGAUAGUAGAUAGAUAGAUAGACAGACAGACAGAUAGACCGACAUACAGAUAGAUAGAUAGAUAGAUAGAUAGAUAGAUAGAUAGAUAGAUAGAUAGACAGACAGAUAGAUAGACAGAUAGAUAGAUAGAUAGAUAGAUAGAUAGACAGACAGAUAGAUAGAUAGAUAGAUAGAUAGAUAGAUAGAUAGAUAGAUAGUAGACAGAUAGAUAGAUAGAGAGACAGAUAGAUUGAUAGUUAGAUAGAUAGAUAGAUAGAUAGUUAGAUAGAUAGACAGAUAGUUAGAUAUCUGUCUAUCUAUAACUAACAACUGAAAAGCAAAGACAAACGGCGGUGUGGGAAGAACAUCCAUGAUGUAAUCCGUGCCUGUAGCUGGCCAGCAGGGUUUCCUCUAUUUACAGUUCUAUAGAACUAUGCAUGGUCUCUCGAAAGCUUAAUGCAUUUACUCACAAAGAUUUAACUUCUGUAGUCAUGUGUAGUACUUUACAGCAACAUCGAUUAUGUAAUUCAUUUAUCUGUCUGUUGCACUACAGAUCUAACAGAAUGGCCAACUGUCUCAUUGUCAUCAUGAAAACAUUGUAUGUGCCAGGACCAUGAAUCAACUUUAACAACGCUUUAAAGCAGAAGUUUAAUCACUAUAUUCAAAAUGCUAUAAAAAAAAAACAAACAAACAAAAAAACACUGCUCUAAUAAAAACUCUGCUCUAAUAAAAAACAGUUACUACAGUUACUUUAGUUUCUAAAUAUCGCUAAAUAUAGCAUCAAACAACAUAUUGAAUGAAAAUGAAUAUUUUACUCAGAGUUAUUGUGCUUCGUUUCUAUUGCGUGCUGUUUGAAUGUUGCGUAUGCGUGGACUCGCGCUUGUUCAGUGAAGUUUAACGGAGACUCACUUGCUGUCAGGACGAGGCUUUAUGUAAAAUGGAAAUACAGGCGUGAAUUUCUAACAUUUACAGAUAUGGAUAUAAAGGUAAAAAUGUCAUUUCUGCGCUGAAGAAAACAUGUCUGGAACACAUUAAACAGCACACGCAUCUGUCGCAGCAUCUGACCCGACAAGCCACGUUAAUACACUUACGAGUUUGUUUGAAGCGCUUAAUAUAAAACAUUCUCAUGUUUUGGACAAUCUGGAUCAUGCACUUUUCCCGCAGCAGCACCUCACUCUGUAACCUCCGCUGUUUCUCAGAUGAGUUUUAUUCAUAGAAAUGCAUUUUUCACCAUCGUGAAGUGAAAGACCCAACUAAUCCAUAAUGACAUUCGUUGUCGAUUAUUUUAAUUAUUGAUUAUUAUCGAUUAGUUUUUGCUGCCCUAAAAUUUUCAGCAGAAUAUUUAGAAUUAAUAGCCAUGCUAAAGAUUAUUGGGAUCUGGUAUACAGGAGAAUGUUGCCAUGCAACUGUAGGAUUGUUCAAUAAAGUCUUUAUAGAGUGGUACACACACAACACACACACACAGUACAAUUAUCACGCCAUAUUCAGGCACCACCUGAGAGCCUUUCCACGCAUUUUUAUUCUUCUUCAGCAGAAUCCCUCAAUCAUAUGUGUGUGUUCAGAGUCCUGAAAGCCCCGAGGGCUGGUGAAGAGAGGGAGAAAAAGAGGCAGAGGGGAAGACAGUGGGUUGGGUUAUGGGUGAGAAGGGCCAGAUGAAUGUUGGAUGGCACAUUAUGGAUGACUUGAUUUAGCGUUUAUUAAAUGUGCACAUCCCUGGGCAAUAACCCCCCACUUUCUCUCUCUCUCUCUCUCUCUAAUACUCAAAAAGAAAAGAAAAAAAGGGAAGAUAAAAAAAGAAGCAUGGGAGAUACAUGCAAUCUCCGCACACACAGGGCGGAGGUGGGAUUCAAACCCCCAACCCCCGCCCGAGGUAUGAGGCAAACGUGCUAACAGAUUUAGCCCAGAUUUAAGGUAGUAAAAGCCUGCUAACAAAUGUAACCUUUAUGUUAUCAAUCAGCAGUGUUCUUAGUGCUCUAUACUGACACAUAGCAGCUUGAGUGUAGCACAUCCUCAAUGUGGAGACAAAAUUGAUUGUGAUCUGAUGCUGUACAUCAAUAACUGACAUGGUUGUUGUUAUAGCCAGUUGAGACAAUACUCCUGAUGCACGGGAGUUACCAAAGAGGCUGUCAUUUUCUUUCUAUGUAACUACAUAAUCAAAAAAGAGCUGUCCAACCUUGAUUCCUCCCAAAAGCAUUCCCAAAAGCAAGGUAAGAUCAUCUUAACUGGGAGAGAGAGUGUCCGAUGUGAUGCUCCAGUGUGAUUCUGUCAUUCAACAAUGAUCUUUGAGACUCGACCCUGUUCUGUUUCUAAAACAUGUGUCCCAUGUGUCACACUUAACAAAAAUGUGACUUUUAUUUUAACCCAUGUUUCAAUUUACACAAAUUAUGUAUUUAUGUAAAUGUGAGCCCUCAUGUCCUGCUGUUUUCUUUAGUUGCUGUCCACAUGUUUUUUUUUUAAAAUCCUAUCUCUAACUCAAGCAAAUGCACCGUAAAAGUACAUAUAACCCUGAUUUGCCUUGCAGCCAGAAAUAUGCUGUUAUAGAAAUCUAAUCAACAACUUCUGACCAAUCAGAAUUGAGAAUUCAAC
Long non-coding RNA from Ictalurus punctatus (channel catfish), 2621 nucleotides. Lineage: Eukaryota; Metazoa; Chordata; Actinopteri; Siluriformes; Ictaluridae. The record is from Ensembl.